CAGCAGCCGCGGUAAUACGUAGGUGGCAAGCGUUAUCCGGAAUUAUUGGGCGUAAAGCGCGCGUAGGCGGUUUUUUAAGUCUGAUGUGAAAGCCCACGGCUCAACCGUGGAGGGUCAUUGGAAACUGGAAAACUUGAGUGCAGAAGAGGAGAGUGGAAUUCCACGUGUAGCGGUGAAAUGCGUAGAGAUGUGGAGGAACACCAGUGGCGAAGGCGACUCUCUGGUCUGUAACUGACGCUGAGGAGCGAAAGCGUGGGGAGCGAACAGGAUUAGAUACCCCCGUAGUCCCUGUCUCUUAUAC
RNAcentral lists this ribosomal RNA (301 nucleotides) under uncultured bacterium. RNAcentral describes it as "partial 16S ribosomal RNA". It matches the Rfam family "Bacterial small subunit ribosomal RNA", at positions 509 to 807 of the family's 1533-position model. The record is from RNAcentral.